This 71-nucleotide transfer RNA is filed under the name Moina macrocopa. RNAcentral's name for it is "tRNA-Lys". Lineage: Eukaryota; Metazoa; Arthropoda; Branchiopoda; Diplostraca; Moinidae. The record is from RNAcentral.
CAUCAAAUAGCUUAAAGUAAGCACAAGCCUCUUAAGCUUAGAGAUAUCAGAAAUACGCCUGAUUUUGGUGA